Molecule: ribosomal RNA, 460 nt
Filed under: uncultured bacterium
Lineage: Bacteria
Description: partial 16S ribosomal RNA
Rfam family: Bacterial small subunit ribosomal RNA
Source: RNAcentral
CCUACGGGUGGCAGCAGUGAGGAAUAUUGGUCAAUGGACGCAAGCCUGAACCAGCCAAGCAGCGUGAAGGAUGACUGCCCUCUGGGUUGUAAACUUCUUUUAUAUGGGAGUAAAAUGUUCCAUGUGUGGCGAUUUGUCUGUACCUUAUGAAUAAGGAUCGGCUAACUCCGUGCCAGCAGCCGAGGUAAUACGGAGGAUCCGAGCGUUAUCCGGAUUUAUUGGGGUUAAAGGGAGCGUAGGUGGAUUGUUAAGUCAGUUGUGAAAGUUUGCGGCUCAACCGUAGAACUGCAGUUGAAACUGGCAGUCUUGAGUACAGUAGAGGUAGGCGGAAUUCGUGGUGUAGCGGUGAAAUGCGUAGAUAUCACGAAGAACACCGGUUGCGAAGGCAGCUCACUGGACGGCAACUGACGCUGAGGCUCGAAAGCGUGGGUAGCAAACAGGAUUAGAUACCCUUGUAGUC